CUACCCUUGACAUGCUCGGAACUUGCCAGAGAUGGCUUGGUGCCCGAAAGGGAGCCGGGACACAGGUGCUGCAUGGCUGUCGUCAGCUCGUGUCGUGAGAUGUUGGGUUAAGUCCCGCAACGAGCGCAACCCUUGCCAUUAGUUGCUACGAAAGGGCACUCUAAUGGGACUGCCGGUGACAAACCGGAGGAAGGUGGGGAUGACGUCAAGUCCUCAUGGCCCUUAUGGGUAGGGCUUCACACGUCAUACAAUGGUCGGUACAGAGGGUUGCCAACCCGCGAGGGGGAGCCAAUCCCAGAAAACCGAUCGUAGUCCGGAUUGUAGUCUGCAACUCGACUACAUGAAGUCGGAAUCGCUAGUAAUCGCAGGUCAGCAUACUGCGGUGAAUACGUUCCC
RNAcentral lists this ribosomal RNA (396 nucleotides) under uncultured bacterium. RNAcentral's name for it is "bacterial SSU rRNA". It matches the Rfam family "Bacterial small subunit ribosomal RNA", at positions 975 to 1375 of the family's 1533-position model. The record is from RNAcentral.